This 1911-nucleotide long non-coding RNA is filed under the name Polistes fuscatus (common paper wasp). RNAcentral describes it as "uncharacterized LOC122514710". Lineage: Eukaryota; Metazoa; Arthropoda; Insecta; Hymenoptera; Vespidae. The record is from RNAcentral.
AUAAUUUCACGAUAAAUAAAUUGUUAAUUUAUGCUCAUAGAACUCCGGCAAUUUUAUUAUUAUCUUUAUUAAUCUCUGUUUUACUGGUUCGAGUCACUUUUUUACAAAAACCUUUUCACACGUAGCCCACAUUUCCAAAAAUGUAUGUAGAAUUUAUUUGUUGUAUGUGUGGUUGUAUAUAGACUUUAUUUUUGUUCUAAUUUAAUUUCUGAUGUUUUCUUCGAAUAUUUUAUAGUCUGAGGAUAAAAAAAGAGGUUUCAGCUAGGUGAAAGAAAAAAAAAGAUUUUACCCUCUUCAUUCUCAUGGAUAACUUUUCUCAUUACGAGCUAUGUAAUUUUCUUCGAAGAGAUUCUUAUAAGUUUUCGAUUUACUAUUUUUACAUUUAUCCAUCCUUCGUAAAGUAUCUGCAUUAACGAGACGAGUUUGAAAGAGGGUAAAAAGUACACUCAUUUGAUGGAUGAAACCAAAGAAAUGACGUCUCGUAAAAUGUACGGAUUAGCAUUAAAAAGACAAAAAGCAUUGCAACACUUUAAAACGCGUCAGGGACACGUUAUAGGGAUAACUUAAUCUGGGAGAUGCAGCUUCGUCUAGACGGUGCUUGUAAUGAUCCAAAGUCCCGGCUUAGGUGAGCUAAUUCUUUUUUUAUGACCGUUUUAUCUCGCUCAGCUCGCUUUUAUUCCGUAGCUGAGAGAAGUCGAGUCCCCCUUUUUCCCUUUCUUAUGCGUAAUUGUAAUAUUACAAGGGGCAAAGGGGUAAUACCUCAGUUCGCCUGUUUUCUUAUAGAAUGUAAAUUGUAAAGCGGAGCGCGCGACUAAUUAAUUGCCCGUUUAAAUAAUUCGUUUCCUUUGUCACGAAGAAAUAGACGGGAGUAAAAGAGAACGUGGAAGAGUUUGCUUGAUGAAAAUUUGAGCUAGCCUCGUUCUUGUUUCUUUUUCUCUCUGCCUUUCUCUUUCUCCUCGUUUGUGAAAAUUAUUCUAUAAGAUUGAAAUAUAAUAUUUGGCGAAUUAGAGAAAGAGAGAGAGAUAAAGAAAUAGCGCGUACAAGGGUGUACAUGCACAUGUGUUAACAUUAAUCUUUGCAACAACAUAAAGCCUUAGAGAAGAAACGAGCUUUCACAGAAAUAUAUUUACACUUUCCGAUUUAUCGUUGCUUUUAGGCGAAGCUAUUACAUAAAAUAAAUUUUGCGGAAACGUAAAUGUAAAUGGGGGGGGGAAGGUGCUGUUUUUGGUUGCGACCGUGUCGCCAACGCCUUCCUAGAUUCAAACGAAUGAAAUUCGUUCGCAAGACGAGAUAUUGGCUGCUAAAGUAGAAGGUUUAGCGAGAUAUCAGCAACUUGGUGCAAAACCGAUAAGGCUUUGAGUUUUUUCUUUCUCUACCCGCGUCGUCGUAUCUCGUUUAUUUGUACGUAUGUGUGUGUGUGUGUGUGUCCCUAUUCGUAUGUGUAGAUUGUAUAAGCUCCAGCAAGAGUAGAGACUAGCAUUUGCAAUGUAAAUUUUCACGUUGCGCAAAUAAAAGCUUUCCUCGGACCACCAAUGGUGUUCGGGCACGGCGAUUUCCUGGAAUCAAUCCCUUAUUGAACAAAUAUAUAAACAUUCGAGAUUCGGCACAUGCGUUCACGAGAAUGUAUCGAAAUGAUGGGAGAAGACUUUCAUGGAAAAGGAGAAGGAAAGAGAGUCAACACGUAACGAGAUCUCCAUAUGAUUUCUUUUACAUAGAUAGGUGAGCGACGCAUUGUUCGAGGGAAGGGCGGCUAACACCGAUAAGAAAAAAGGACGAUUGCUGACCGCUAGCCGAAAGCAAGGAAAGAAAAUUCGACACUCUCUCCGCGACCAUCCGAGCGUCAAGAUUGAACAUUUCUUUUGUAUCCUAACCGUUUCUGUAUCUUGAAAUAUAAUCGUUUAUUUUAUUCUA